Molecule: long non-coding RNA, 4231 nt
Organism: Mirounga angustirostris (Northern elephant seal)
Lineage: Eukaryota; Metazoa; Chordata; Mammalia; Carnivora; Phocidae
Exons: 3
Source: RefSeq, a predicted model, not a curated record
GGGGCUGGGAAAAAAAGAGAAGAGGAAGAAGAGAAAAAGCGUGCGCGUGAAAAGAGUUAGGCAAGAAAAGGACGAGACAGAGUGGGGAAGAAGAGGCCGGAGCAAGAGGGGGCAAAGUAGGCAGAGAGAAAGGUGAAAGAUGGAGUUGCACUUGUUUCUGCCCUGCUCCCACACCCUCACCAUUCCAAACAAACUAUAUAGGCCCUGCAGCAAAGGCAUGCCCUCUUUUAAAGCAAUGCCAGUCUUGUUAAGAACACAGACUCAAGCCCACAGAUAGACUGUUUUGUGUUUUGCUAUUCUGUUUAUGCACAAAGGAAUCCUUAACAUGCUUGUCCUCAAGGAGCAAAGAAAAGUAGUAAAAAAUGCAAAUCAUAUCUGACAGUGAAGCUUUCCAGCAAAAACCUUCUGCUCUAGAAUGCAUAAUGUACUCAAGCAUAAUAAGAUCUACUACUACAGACUUUUAGCAUAAUUACCUGUAGGCAACAAAAACUGAGGAAACUGAAUAUCUUUGAUUGGUGUCUCUUGGACCUAAGCUCCCAAAGAAAACCUGGUGGACAGCAGAGAAAGGAACAGACAGCGAUACUUUGUAGAACAGGAGGUGACUUUUUUAAAAAAGCAAUUUCUAUAGCAGUCUUCACAAUUUCUGUCACAGUCUUGACACACUUACCUGCUGUUGAGGCCACAUUUGCCUGUUUCUAACCUCUGCCUGAAAAAUUCAAAUUAGAUGAUCAUAUGGCCCACAGCCAGAAAUACAGGAGGCAGCAAGCCAGAGGUCAAUUUUUUUUGUUUCUAAAUAAGACAAAAUCCUGACUUAAAGUAAUCAGAAUAAAUUUCACAUCGUGAAGUUUUUUCCAGCUGAAAGUCUGAAAAUAUGGCAUCUGGAAAGGGCCUUAGUCUAUUGCUCCCAGGGCAGUACUAUAUCGUCAUUAAACAGCCCACAGAUAAGGGAGUUAUUGCUCCCUGGUUAUCAAGCUGUCAGGGAGUAAAUGAUGGAACUAAGUUAGACUUGAAACACUCCCAAAUUAAAAACAAAAACAAACCUUGCAUUGAGCUUUCAAAAAAUGCAUUUUACUGAGAAGUAGGAUCCAGAUGCUGUGGCCAUUGUUAACUGAUGCCAAAAGGCAAAGAGUCAGGACUUUUAAAGUCACUUUGAGGUCACCUCCCAUCAGUAAGCAACAGUUUGAACUGAUGCAAAUAUAUACAGAAUGGGACGCCUGGGUGGCUCAGUUGGUUAAGCAUCUGCCUUUGGCACGGGUCAUGGUCCUAGGGUCCUGGAAUCAAGUCCCGCGUCGGGCUCCCUGCUCAGCGGGAAGCUUGCUUCUCCCUCUGCCUGCCGCUCCCCCUGCUUGAGCUCUCUCUCUCUGGCAAAUAAAUAAAUAAAGCCUAAAAAAAAAAAAAGAUAUGCAGAAUGAAAUUAUGAACAGGAGGAAGAAACUGAGGGCAAUAUAUGCCAGAAAUACGGAAGAGGCUGUGUCUUAUUUAUUUUCUCGUUUCCUACACAAAAUAGAGAAACCUUGUACAUAGGAGGCAGGCACUCAUUAUUUGUUACCCGAAUAAGUGAAGAAGAAAGCCAGCAAACAGCAGGAAUGUAAUAUAGUUGGGAAAGGGAACUGUAGCUCAAGCCCUCUGCAUGAUCCUGAAAUGUCAUCCCAAUCUGCUGUGAUAUAAUGCACUACUCUAUCAAAAUAGCUCAAAUCAUCUGCUUCCAGAUGUACAGCUUCCCAUCAUUUCUUGCCUUGAAUGAUUAAGAAUAUAUGGUAAUGUAGGGCGCCUGGGUGGCUCAGUUGGUUAAGCGACUGCCUUCGGCUCAGGUCAUGAUCCUGGAGUCCCCGGAUUGAGUCCCGCAUCGGGCUCCCUGCUCGGCAGGGAGCCUGCUUCUGCCUCUGACCCUCCCCCCUCUCAUGUGCUCUCUCUCUUUCAUUCUCUCUGUCUCAAAUAAAUAAAUAAAAUCUUUGGGAAAAAAAAAGAAUAUAUGGUAAUGUAAGAGACUAGAUCUUAAUUGUUCCCACCACAAAAAAGAAAUGAUAAUUAUGUAACAUGUAGAGGUGUUAGCUAACUCUAUAGUGGUAAUCAUAUUGCAAUAUAUAAGUGUAUCAAGUCAACAGAUUGUACACCUUAAACUUACACAGUGUUAUAUGUCAAUUAUAUUUCAAUUUAAAAAAUUAUAUAUGGUAAUGAUUAAGAGAGUCCACUCUGGAAUCAGGCUGUGUUCAAAUUCCAGCCCUGACACUGAAUACCUGUGAACCUAGAGCGAGUUAAAGCAUAAUAACUCAGGGUUAUGAAAUUUAAAUGUUUACACAUAUGAAGCUAUUAUAGGAUAAGCAUGUCAAAGAUGCUCAAUAGCUGUGAACCUUAUUAGUAUUAGGAUGUUGUGAUAAACAUGAAAUUGACCUGUACGGACAGACCCAUUCUUUUGGAUGAGCAAUGCACUGAUGCACUAAAGGCAUUUGUCAACCUGUAGUAAUGAAAUAAGUUUUCACAAGAGAUAUUGAUGGGUGACACAGAUUUUAUCUGUCCCACUUUCCAGACUGACAUGAGUCCGGUCUUAGUAGGAGAUGCAGAGUCUGAAUCUGUGUUCUCGUCUCCACAAAAAGCAGGCACAGAGAGACUGUAAUCUCCUUCAGAGAUGGUGCCUGUCUCCUGUGUAUCCUCCACAGGUAAUCUCUACACCUAAUGUGGAGCUCGAGCUCACAACCUCUAGAUCAAGAGUCGCAAUCUCCACCAACUGAGCCAGACAGGAGCUCCUGAAAAUUCUGAUUUGAAAUCAUUAUUCUAUGCUCUUCACUUUGAAGUUAGUCCCACAUGCCAGGAAAGGUCCAGCUUCCCAAUCUCACUCUGUGUUUGUGAAGUAUAAAACCUGUAUUAAGAAAAAUGCUGUUUCCUCAAUUACUUGCAACCCUCUCCAAAUCAUACACAAAAAUCCUCAUGCAACCUGCGUGGAGAGAAGUGUGUUAGCCAGAGAGAGGGUGAAGAAGUAGGAGGAAGGUAAAGAAGACAGCUCAGAACAGGCUGUCUCUGCUUGAUGGCUUUUCCACCUACUGCAGUGAGUAUCAUCAAGGAAAGUUCUCCAUCCUAGACCCACUCCGUCAGUGACUCCUGGACAGGAUCUGGAAUCUCUAGCAACACAUUCCCCAGCGGAUUCUAAAGCCACCAAAGUUUGAGAAGCAUUGGUUUCUUGUAUGGACUGAAUUGUGUGUCUCCCCCACCCCCCAAAUUCAUAUGUUGAAGCUCUAACCCCCAGUGUGAUUAUAUAGAGAGCUUAUAGAGAUAGGGUCUUUAGGACACAAUUAAGGUUAAAUGAGAUCAUAAGGGUGGGGCACGUCUGCAAACAUGAAGAGAGCUCCCAGGAACAAAAUUGGUUGAUGCUUUGAUCUUGGACUUCAAGCCUCCAAAGCCGUGAGAAAUAAAUUUCUGUUCUUCAAGCUGCCCAGUUUUUGGGGUACUUUGUUACAGCAGGCAGAGCUGGCUAAGGCCGCUUCAGGGAUCAAAAAUGACCAGUCUAUUGUCGGCUCCAAAGAAGGGACCCUCGCUCUAGACCUGGAAUCUCUGGUGUGAAGAGGCAGGUGUAUGGUUAUCCUGGGCUGGAGGCCUGGAUCAGCGGUGGAGAGGGGGCACGAGGGCACACCUGAAAUAUUGGCAACGCUCUGUUUCUUGGUUAGGGUGUGAUCACACAGAAGGGCGCACUUUGUGAAUCCCUAUUAGGCUGGAUACUUAGGAUUUGUGUACUUUUCUGUAUGUAUUUCUACUUACAAAAAAUGACAGUAUUCAAAUAAAAAGUUCAAAGGUUUACCUCUUCUUAGAACUGUGAGGAUUAAGAGAUCACAGAUGUAAGGCGCCUGACCGUUUUUUAGCACGCAGGACACACUCAUUAGCUAUUUGCCAGCUUUUGUCAGCUCAUUAGGUGAAAGGCCAAAUGAAUAUGCAAAUGACCAAACUGGGUGAGGACAGAAAGACUCAGCAGUCCACCACCGCCACCGAGAGGGCAGAAGAGGGCAAGGAGAAACGCACAGAUGUGGGGUUUGCGUUUCGGCUUCUCCACCUCCUGAGCAGGUCCCUUAACCUCUCUGAGGCUCAGCUUAACGGGCUGACAGGUGUGCCGCCAAGAUCAAACGUCGUCGUACAAAAAGGCCCUGUCCUCACGUUCUGCCUGUAUGCACCGCAGAGCUCAGUGAGUGCUAAGCAUGAUGCCGAUGACCGAGGAGCUGGGAUGUGGCCACGUCCCCACGCUCCU